This 253-nucleotide ribosomal RNA is filed under the name uncultured bacterium. RNAcentral's name for it is "partial 16S ribosomal RNA". It matches the Rfam family "Bacterial small subunit ribosomal RNA", at positions 524 to 776 of the family's 1533-position model. The record is from RNAcentral.
UACGAAGGGGGUUAGCGUUGCUCGGAAUCACUGGGCGUAAAGCGCACGUAGGCGGGUUGUUAAGUCAGGGGUGAAAUCCUGGAGCUCAACUCCAGAACUGCCUUUGAUACUGGCGACCUUGAGUCCGGGAGAGGUGAGUGGAAUUGCGAGUGUAGAGGUGAAAUUCGUAGAUAUUCGCAAGAACACCAGUGGCGAAGGCGGCUCACUGGCCCGGAACUGACGCUGAGGUGCGAAAGCGUGGGGAGCAAACACG